UCCCCUCCCACCUCUUUACACACAGGCACACACACCCGGGCUAACUCCUUCCCUCACACGCCUACUAUCCACUUUCGCCUGAGACCGCAGCCAGCGCAGGGCUCAGUUUUUUAUUUGAUUUUUUAUUUGCCUUGCUUGCUUUGGGUCUUUCCCUCUUGUACAGCGAGACCAUUUCGUCCCAUUUCACCCCUCUGCCCCUGAAAACAUAGGCCCUGGAUUGUCCCUGCAUCAGACUGCAUGCUACCAAUUGAUUUGUGCAUCUACUCCUCCCUAUUAUUUUAGCACUUUAUAUUAAAAAUUGCUCUCUAGCUUUAACGUAAAAUUCGGUUCAUUUUGAGUAAUUUCUUCACAUACCCAUUCUGGAAGAGAGGACGAAGAAAAGAAGAGAACGCUCACGGAAUGGACAGAUGAAAGGGGACAGCAGAAAAAAGAGUGAGAAAAUGGAGAGCAUGUUCUGUGGGAGAGCAAGAGAGACCUGACCUAUGCACCCGACAUUGCCAAUCCCAUUCCAUGUAGCCCAAGACCUGAAAAGAAUGCUGUGGUCUACUCUUGUCUUGAGUCCGUGGAAACUUCCCACUAAGGAGUAACAAUGGAAAGAAUUUCAGUCCAGCCUAAGUAAGGUAACAUCUCUGGCAAGUUUGGAGGUUUAGAGAUGAGCCAUUAUGAGGUGGAGCCAUUCACCAACCCAACACACAACACAAUUAUAUGGUAUCCAAACUAGUGGCAGAUUGACUCUUUCUUUCAGGGAUCGUCAUAAGUCACAGGUGAGGUCCUUGGGAACAAGGCUGCAUGCAAGUUCAUCAGAAUUUGGGUGAAUAAAAAAAACUAUUAGGUAGAAUGAUGUAAUCGGGAUCAAGAAGAUGUCAUUGGAUGAACAGCCAAGGAAACACAGAAAUAUCACCACCUAAAGCACCAGUUACCCUACUGGAAAUAUCACCACCUAAAGCACCAGUUACCCCUACUGGAAAUACCACCACCUAAAGCAUCAGUUACCUACUGGAAAUACCACCACCUAAAGCACCAGUUACAAUACUGGAAAUAUCACCACCUAAAGCACCAGUUACCCUAUUGGAAAUAUCACCACCUAAAGCACCAGUUACCCUACUGGAAAUAUCACCACCUAAAGCACCAGUUACCGUACUGGAAAUAUCACCACCUAAAGCAACAGUUACCGUACUGGAAAUAUCACCACCUAAAGCACCAGUUACCGUACUGGAAAUAUCACCACCUAAAGCACCAGUUAACCGACUGGAAAUAUCACAGCCUAAAGCACCAGUUACCGUACUGGAAAUAUUACCACCUAAAGCACCAGUUACC
Oncorhynchus tshawytscha (Chinook salmon) is the source of this 1317-nucleotide long non-coding RNA. The record is from Ensembl. Lineage: Eukaryota; Metazoa; Chordata; Actinopteri; Salmoniformes; Salmonidae.